AGGAACAACUUGUUUCUUUGUGAAAGAAAUCUGGGACUAUGGCUAUCCCUCUGGACUUUGUAUAAAGGACACAGAUCAAAUACAGUCAAGCGGCAGUUGGGGAAACUUGUCUAUUCUGGAAUUUUCCGGCAACUGUCUGGAUCCAGCUGCUCAGUUUCGUUUUCGUGAUAAUGGUGCCAUGUUAAAUCUAAAAAAACAGGGAUGUCUCGCUGCUUUUAAUAAGAAUGGUUCCGGAUAUGACCAUGAUAUGUUUUAUCUUUACGUUGACUCAGUCAGUUUAGAUACAGCUGCUUGUGCUCAGAAGCCUAACGAAAGUAUCUAUCGUGCUAUAACCCAGUCCCCUGAAGGAAAGCUAUCUGUUUAUUAUAAAGGGAAAGAUAAGAGCUCAUUUGAAACCUGGUUUGCACAUUCUUCACCUAGUGACGAACUUGAUAAAAAUUAUGGAUUAAAGCGCUAUAUCGUAUUGAGGACAUAUGGUGGUUUUGGUCACAGAUAUAUUUUUGGUAAGUUUUUGUUAACAAUCUUUCUAAUUUUUGAAGGCUUUAUUUCUCAUUGAGCGCCUUACAAUCUUUUCCUCUCGCAAACCAAACAUUCUCCAAACUCUUUUACACAAUCUACACGAAAUAAGGUAGAUUAUGAAUAUAUAUAUAUAUAUAUAUAUAUAUAUAUAUAUAUAUAUAUAUAUAUAUAUAUAUAUAUAUAUAUAUAUAUAUAUGUAAUAUCAUAUAAUAUAAUAUAAUUAUAUAAUGUGGAUAAUGGAUAUAUAAUUCUUUACAAUCUACGAAAUAAUGUAGAUUGAAUAUAUAUAUAUAUAUAUAUAUAUAUAUGUAUAUAUAUAUAUAUAUAUAUAUAUAUGUAAUAUGUUAUGUAAAUAAUAAUAAAUUAUAUUAUAAUUUAGUGCCUACUAAUUCUAACAAUAUACAUAGACAAGUAUGGUUUAUAAACCAAAAUGCGAGCUUAUGAUAUUAAGGGGGUCAUGCAUUAAAAUUGUAGUCGCAUAUUCAAACUGAAUAAGAGCGGCCUUAGAUCUACAUGCCGCUCGAGACUGGUGAUCUAUCUUAUUUUGUGAGAAAAAUUAACUUACCAACUUAUAAUGAGAAUUUCACAAAUACCAUCCAGUAAUUGUGCGCAUGUUUAUAAAUUUGUGUAGCAAUGUACGAGACAUAUUUUUCUUAGAAAUUUAUAAAUUAUGUAAAAUUUCUUUCUAACUAACUCAAACUAAAUUAACGAGAAUCUAAUCGAUAUCAUUGACUUCCGGUAAUACCUCCACAAAUCCUCCCCCCCCCCCCUCCAAUCAUCACUCUUUACUUACUGUAAUUAUCUCAUAGCGCUUUUAUAUCACAUAUACAAGCUCUUUUGCGGUUAUGAUAUCGGUUUCUAUAUCUUAUAUUUGUAAAUCCCCAUCCAAACUAAAAGAGAAAUUAAACGACAUCCUUCGCCCGCGACUAUUGGCUUUAUAGAUUUCUCUCUUUCCCCAUUACAAAUUAAAUACAAACGCACACCACCAAGUGAAAACAUCACCUUGACCUAGGUAAUUAUCUCAUAUUGACAUUGCGCUUACCGACUAACGGUUAAAAAUACCUUUUUUUAAAUAUUAUAACCUGGCAAUGUUUACAAAAAAACAUUUGUUGUUCUUUUAAGGUUCAGUGACAUGUUAUGGUGAUAAAGUGAAGAAUGCCAACUGUCCUAAAGAUCAAUACAUGGUGGUCAAGUUUGCAUCUUACCGUGGAUUGUUUGCACCGAAGACAUGUGGUUUAAGUGAUGAUUAUAGUUGUGAAGUUGAUGUAAUAUGUCUGCUUAAGAAACAUUGUGAUGGUCUACACGAGUGCAAUAUAACUGUGGAUGACAAUUUGAUCUCUGACGAUCUAUGUCCUGGAUUGUCAAACUAUCUUUACUUUGAAUAUCAAUGUGUUGAUACUGUGAAACCUUACAAAGAACCUUGUGGUACGCAUGAGAAUUAGUAUAAUGGUUCUAUUGAUGGUAACAACUUGUAGUUUUAGUCAAUUUCUCUUAAGGAAUUUGCACAAGACAAGUUCCCAUAGUGUUUAAAAAUGUUUCGCCUCGAUUUGGCACACGUGUCAUGUCAGAGC
This is a non-coding RNA of Paramuricea clavata, 2090 nucleotides long. Lineage: Eukaryota; Metazoa; Cnidaria; Anthozoa; Malacalcyonacea; Plexauridae. The record is from the annotation of a GenBank genome assembly.